AGCGAACGCUGGCGGCAGGCUUAACACAUGCAAGUCGAGCGGGCACUUUCGGGUGUCAGCGGCGGACGGGUGAGUAACGCGUGGGAACGUGCCCUCUGGUUCGGAAUAACUCAGGGAAACUUGAGCUAAUACCGGAUACGCCCUUUUGGGGAAAGGCUUGCUGCCGGAGGAUCGGCCCGCGUCUGAUUAGCUAGUUGGUGAGGUAACGGCUCACCAAGGCGACGAUCAGUAGCUGGUCUGAGAGGAUGAUCAGCGACACUGGGACUGAGACACGGCCCAGAAUCCUACGGGAGGCAGCAGUGGGGAAUAUUGGAAAAUGGGCGCAAGCCUGAUCCAGCCAUGCCGCGUGAGUGAUGAAGGCCUUAGGGUUGUAAAGCUCUUUUAUCCGGGACGAUAAUGACGGUACCGGAGGAAUAAGCCCCGGCUAACUUCGUG
This 435-nucleotide ribosomal RNA is filed under the name uncultured bacterium. Its description in RNAcentral is "partial 16S ribosomal RNA". It matches the Rfam family "Bacterial small subunit ribosomal RNA", at positions 29 to 507 of the family's 1533-position model. The record is from RNAcentral.